UAAUACGUAGGGUGCGAGCGUUGUCCGGAAUUAUUGGGCGUAAAGGGCUCGUAGGCGGUUUGUCGCGUCGGGAGUGAAAACACCGGGCUUAACUCGGUGCUGGCUUUCGAUACGGGCAGACUAGAGGUAUUCAGGGGAGAACGGAAUUCCUGGUGUAGCGGUGAAAUGCGCAGAUAUCAGGAGGAACACCGGUGGCGAAGGCGGUUCUCUGGGAAUGUCCUGACGCUGAGGAGCGAAAGUGUGGGGAGCGAACAGGAUUAGAUACCCUGGUAGUCCACACCGUAAACGUUGGGCGCUAGGUGUGGGAUCCAUUCCACGGGUUCCGUGCCGCAGCUAACGCAUUAAGCGCCCCGCCUGGGGAGUACGGCCGCAAGGCUA
This 378-nucleotide ribosomal RNA is filed under the name uncultured bacterium. RNAcentral describes it as "bacterial SSU rRNA". It matches the Rfam family "Bacterial small subunit ribosomal RNA", at positions 521 to 896 of the family's 1533-position model. The record is from RNAcentral.